GGUGUGUUUGGUUGGGCUACAAUUUCCAUGGCUGCAGCUGAAGGAGCGGCUGUAGCUGGUAAUGAAGAGAGGCACUUCACAUUUGCCCACAAGAAGUACAGAGAGGCUUCAAAGCAUGGUAACAUUGUUUAUGAAAAGAAUCCACAAGGGACUGAUAACCUACUUCUUGGAAUUAUCUACUGUAAGUUUAUGACUUGGCUCUAGCUGAAGCUUCUAUUUUCUACCAAAACUGCUGUUGACAUUAGCACAAUUGAUGGUUGCUUCUCCUCUCCUAUUGGCUACAUCUCCUUCCUCUAUAUGUCAAUAUAUCAACAAAACAAGGAUCUCUAAUAUCAUUGUUUUAUGGAGUUCACGGAUUGUUGAAGAUUUUUGCUGCCAUGGAAUUGUGAGUUUGUGACUAUACAUUCUUGUCCUAUAUGUGAAAUUGAAGAUAUAUUGUCUCUGUAUGUGAAUGUAAAUAUCCAGGUAUGUAAGCAAGUCAAUUUUUAUUUACAUAUUUAUCUAUGAAAUGCAAGCAAGCAAAUCACAUCUUAUAGACAAUUGCUCCGUUAUAGGUAAAUCUGAUGAUUCAUAAAUUAACCGGUUGGAGAUCGGUAGACAGUCAAGUGUAUUGAUAACUGGAGUUUAGAGCUCAAAAUCCCUCUAACUUUUCUACUAACUGUAUUUUCUUGACAUCUUUCAGAGAAGAACAAGUACUGUUAGUAUGUAUAAUACAAUUCUGGAGAUGUGAAUGGAUGUAUUCAUUUAGUAAAGUAUUAGUAGAUGAUGAUUUAUUUUCUUUGCUGUCAACUGGUGUAUAUCCGGAUAUGUUUAGUUUGUUUCGAAAUUAAUUUGUAAAGUAGUCUGAACAAUUGUACAGUCUCUCAGUGUAUUAGUACUCUGUUUUUUGGGCAGCUGGAAGAAAUCAGUUUGUCAUGACAUGCGAAAAUGAGUUUAUUUACCUUCACUAUUGCUUUUAUUAGCUAACAAAGAUGUUUGUGAAAUAG
This 986-nucleotide long non-coding RNA is filed under the name Triticum aestivum (bread wheat). RNAcentral describes it as "long non-coding RNA (TAES_LNC012723)". Lineage: Eukaryota; Viridiplantae; Streptophyta; Magnoliopsida; Poales; Poaceae. The record is from RNAcentral.